GCUUCGGUGGCCGAGUGAUUAAAGCGGCAGCCUAAAAUACAGGAGGUCGUAGGUUCGAUCCCUGGUCGAGUCA
Non-coding RNA from Potamilus streckersoni, 73 nucleotides. The record is from the annotation of a GenBank genome assembly. NCBI's taxonomy places the organism in Eukaryota, Metazoa, Mollusca, Bivalvia, Unionida, Unionidae.